This 96-nucleotide non-coding RNA is filed under the name unclassified sequences. The record is from Rfam.
UCACCAUCCACACACGCCUUACCAGGACUAAACAGCGUGGCUAAAAAACAGUCCUUCAUACCUGAUCUGGAGGGUAGAUCAGGAAUACUAUACUCA